AGAGUUUGAUCAUGGCUCAGAGCGAACGCUGGCGGCAGGCUUAACACAUGCAAGUCGAGCGGGCGUAGCAAUACGUCAGCGGCAGACGGGUGAGUAACGCGUGGGAACAUACCUUUUGGUUCGGAACAACCCAGGGAAACUUGGGCUAAUACCGGAUAAGCCCUUACGGGGAAAGAUUUAUCGCCGAAAGAUCGGCCCGCGUCUGAUUAGCUAGUUGGUGAGGUAACGGCUCACCAAGGCGACGAUCAGUAGCUGGUCUGAGAGGAUGAUCAGCCACAUUGGGACUGAGACACGGCCCAAACUCCUACGGGAGGCAGCAGUGGGGAAUAUUGGACAAUGGGCGCAAGCCUGAUCCAGCCAUGCCGCGUGAGUGAUGAAGGCCCUAGGGUUGUAAAGCUCUUUUGUACGGGAAGAUAAUGACGGUACCGCAAGAAUAGCCC
This 440-nucleotide ribosomal RNA is filed under the name uncultured Bradyrhizobium sp. RNAcentral describes it as "bacterial SSU rRNA". It matches the Rfam family "Bacterial small subunit ribosomal RNA", at positions 8 to 493 of the family's 1533-position model. The record is from RNAcentral. Lineage: Bacteria; Pseudomonadati; Pseudomonadota; Alphaproteobacteria; Hyphomicrobiales; Nitrobacteraceae.